This is a long non-coding RNA of Cydia splendana, 286 nucleotides long. RefSeq lists it as uncharacterized. The transcript has 4 exons. The record is from RefSeq and is a predicted model, not a curated record. NCBI's taxonomy places the organism in Eukaryota, Metazoa, Arthropoda, Insecta, Lepidoptera, Tortricidae.
CAGAUUAUGUGCGCGCUUAUAUAAAUCAAACAAGGCCGCUGUACGCCAUUUUGGAUUAAACUAUCGCUCGCAAUGCGUCGAGCUAUAGUCGUCGCAAUGGCGCUGGCGGCCGUUGCGGUAGUACAGUGUGCAGAUUCGCCCCAGAAAGAUGCAAAUGUGACACUAUCCGACUCAAAAAUCAUAAAACCUGGUAGUAGAAACAAACGGCAAAUAGUGAGGCUAAUGCCCUAUGAGGACUCCUAUAAAUGGUGAGUCGUAAUAAUAGCCUCUAUUAUUAAAGGGGCCC